GAAAACUUUGGUAUAUCUUUUCGCUGUUCUAUUUUGCUCAUUGCUUACAUUUGUGGUAUGUAUACAUCUACAAUUGCUAUUUGCUUUUCAAAAUUAAUAUUCCUUCUUUUGUUUUUACAUUUUGUAUUAAAUUAAGAGGUGGAAAAAAUGUGGCCCAAUUUGACAACAAGAUCAAAGUUUCAAAUCCUCAAUAAAAAAAUUUUAAAAAGUAACUUUGUGAUUUUUUCACUUAUGUUUAGGUUUUGUUAGGUUGGGUUAUUCGGUAUAUGUGUUUAUGGGAGACGGGAUAUGCACGGACCUCUAAAUAAUUUUCCGGACUCGCUCCUAUGUCCAAAAUCACGAUACGGAGCUAUUGGAAUCAUCAUAAUUAAAUUCCGAGGUCGUUUACAAAUAAGUCAAUAUCCGGUCAACUUUUCUAACUUAAGUUUUCAAUUAAGAGACUAAGUGUCUCAUUUCAUUCCGAAAUCCUUCCGGACCCGAACCAACUAACUCGGUAAGUCAUAAAACAACUGUAAAAUAUAAAUUGAGCAGUAAAUGGGGGAACGGGGUUAAAAUACUCAAAACGACCGGUCGGGUUGUUACAUGAUCAUGCAUUUUUCUUCUUAGAACACAUUCUUGAAUGUGAAUUUGUUCGACAAAAACUUGAGUAUCAUUGAAAUGUUUUCGCUUUAUAUAUGAAUUAAUAAGAAUAUUAUUUCUGUAACACACAAAUAUAUAUAAAUAUAUAUAUACUGCUUGAUUUUGCAGGCAUGUUCGUGAUAACACAAGUUUUCUCAGCAAAUGCUCAAAACGUAUGUACCCAACGUAUUGAUGGUAAUACUCCUUGUUCGCAAGAAUUACCACUUUGCCAACAGCAUUGCCACAAAUUCUUUGGACCACUUUAUAUUAAUUCAGAGUGUGAGGAUCAAGGCCUAGGGCAUACUACUUGUGUGUGUUACUACAAUAGUAACUUCCCUUGUAA
This 961-nucleotide long non-coding RNA is filed under the name Nicotiana tabacum (common tobacco). RNAcentral describes it as "long non-coding RNA (NTAB_LNC017508)". Lineage: Eukaryota; Viridiplantae; Streptophyta; Magnoliopsida; Solanales; Solanaceae. The record is from RNAcentral.